Molecule: long non-coding RNA, 736 nt
Filed under: Chrysemys picta bellii (western painted turtle)
Lineage: Eukaryota; Metazoa; Chordata; Testudines; Emydidae
Description: lncRNA (ENSCPBG00000022255.1)
Source: RNAcentral
CCCAACCCGCAGAAGGGAGCAUGCCUGGGACAGCUGGGCCAGGGAGGAAUUAAAAGCCCCAGGAUGGUGCUGUGGGCAUGUCCUCAUAUCUUCCUUCAGGUAUUUAUCCUCUGGAUUAGCCCCACCUCGGCUUCCAUCCAGGAUCAAUACUGUGAGAAUUUACCUCCAAGCAGUAACACCACUGGAUUUCUGCUGCUGUUACCAGGAGCGGAAUCCAGCUUCUGGCCAGAUGAGCUCAGGAUAACUGGAUUAAUCCACUCUCAUCUCUAACUAGAUAAGUGGAUUUCAUCUGCAGCCCUUUUUCUCGGCGUGCGUUUCAACUUCACGUGAGCCAGCAGCGCUCCCGUAGGUGGGAUUUUUACAAAACUGCAGGGGAAUUUAGAAAACCUUUGUUCAGGGUAAUUGUAAAUUCGGAGUUUUAUAAUGAAGCUAAUGAGAGCCACAGUAGGGCUGUGAUACGUAAUUAGCUAAUGUCUGUGCGACACUUGGGAACUGGCAUGUGCUCAUAGCAUGGGGAUGAUUAGACUCAAGCGCCGCAUGCUGUUGAGCUCGGUGUCCGCUGAAUACAGAGGAAGGGCUUCCUGGCAUUCUGCAGCGAAAUCGCUUUUCCCAUCGACAAAUAUUAUGGAGCUGGGUUUUAACUCACUUAGGUUCUUAUCCGGCCCCCUUUCUGAUAGCACGUGAGCCCCUCCCAGUCUUUAAGGCAUUUAUUCUCCCAACCCCACUGUGAGGCAGG